Oncorhynchus tshawytscha (Chinook salmon) is the source of this 362-nucleotide long non-coding RNA. The record is from Ensembl. NCBI's taxonomy places the organism in Eukaryota, Metazoa, Chordata, Actinopteri, Salmoniformes, Salmonidae.
CAGAGGGAGGUAGAGAGAAACUGUAGAGAGAGAGCCAGAGGGAGGUAGAGAAAACUGUAGAGAGAGAGCCAGCGGGAGAGAGAUAGCCAGAGGGAGAGAGAGAGAGAGGGGUAGAGAGAGCCAGAGGGAGAGAGAGAGAGAGGGGUAGAGAGAGCCAGAGAGAGAGAGAGAGCCAGGGGGAGAGAGAGAGGGGUAGAGAGGUAGAGAGAGAGAGGGGUAGAGAGGUAGAGAGAGAGCCAGAGGGAGAGAGGGGUAGAGAGGUGGAGAGAGAGCCAGAGGUAGAGAGAGAGCCAGAAGGAGAGAGAGACAAAGAGCAUAGAAUAUGACAUAUCUAAAGGUAUAAACAGACAGACAGAGAAAGA